This is a non-coding RNA of Arachis ipaensis, 2565 nucleotides long. Lineage: Eukaryota; Viridiplantae; Streptophyta; Magnoliopsida; Fabales; Fabaceae. The record is from RefSeq and is a predicted model, not a curated record.
UUAUUAUUACUCAUAAAUUUACAAACUAAUAAUUUGGGGUUUAAUACUUUCUAAGUUUAUAUAAUAAUCCCUUGUGUUCAGAAGCAGAUUCGAAUCCCCUGUUGUACCAACGCAGAAACUCUAAACAAAAGAACAAAGCUGAAGAGUGAUCAAUCAUGGAGGAGAACAAGCAGAAGAGCAUUCACGACAUCCUCCCUCUUGACCUGAUUCAGAGAAUCUUAUUGAGGAUUCCGGUCAAACAUCUCGGCCGCCUCAAGUGCGUUUGGAAGACUUUGGCACUCUCUCAUUUCCGAUCCAGACUUCGCGGAAUCGCAUCUUCACUUCUCUCUCGCACUCAUCCAUGCGUGCAUAAAAAACAAGGACUCCACGGAAGCUUACAUUCUUCACCUAGAAGAAGCAUUUAACGACAAAAAUUAUAAAAUCAAAGAGGUACUUCAAGUUUCCCCGUAAUGCGAUUCUGUAUGGAUUUGGUUAAGAUGCGUCACGGGAUGACUACUUAGUUGUUGUAGCUUGGAAGGAUAGUAACUGCAAACUCUUAGAUUGCUUGUCCUUGAGAACCAAUUCAUGGAUUAAUCUUGAUGCUGCACUCCCCAACCCAUUGGAUCUUACGAAGUGGCAAUCUCGUGGGUUGUUCUUUAAUGGCUCUAUUCAUUGGUUGUCGUCCUCUCUUCUUGCAUUUGAUUUGAAGGAAAGAAGUUUCUCAAAGAUAUCUUUGCCUGAACAACUCAUAAUUCCUGAUGCUGCCACAUUGGUCAUACUAGGAGGGUGCCUAGCCUUGUAUUCUCAGGACUGGGUUGAACGCAAAACACACGUAUGGGUGAUGAAAGAAUACAAAGUGCAGUCAUCUUGGACUUUGUAUGUCAUUCCUUCUUUAAAGUUUGAGCCUCUAUGAUUAUCCAAUGGUAGUGACAUUAUUGCAGUAGUAUAUGGAUCAAUAAAGUUUGCCAAAUAUAAUAUCAGAGAAGAGCUGCUCCAACGUUUUAGAUGUCCUCAUUUUCAACAGCUAGCUUACAACUGGACAUGGUGCACUGUAUAUACAGAGAGUCUCUUGCCGUUCCCUAGUAAUGGUAAGCAUAAGGGUAAGAAGAAGAAGAAUGUUAUUUAACUAUUCUGCUAUGCUUUGCGCCACAUUAUUCCUGCUAGUUUUAAACUUUGUGAUUGAUGUAGAAGUACUGAGCAAGAUGCAUUGUGCAUCAAGUUGCAUUCAGAUCUGAGUUUUGACUAUCCAUGGUGAAACUUGAUUUAUCAAGUGCUUGGGGAAUCACUAAUCACUGUCUUUCUUUCUAGAGUCUAGUCUUGUGAUGAGGUUUUAGGGUUUAGCUCUUUUUCAUUUCUAAAGAUGUGACAUUUUACCAUGAAAAUCUUAUACAUGCUUCGUUGUUUCUGCUGAUUGCUAUAGAUAAAUAUUUUUAGCUGAUGUGUAUCCUUAUAAUGUUAGGCACAUCAUAAUGAAAUUAAAUUCAUAAGAUUUAUCUUAAUGUCAAUAUGUGACUGAUAAAACCGUUGGUAGAAAAAGCAUUGGUAAUUAACCAAGAAUUGAAAUAGAGGCUGACUUGCUUACUUGAACUAGGUGUUACGAAAGGGCAACUACAUAACCUAAUUUAUAACUGAAGAAAUAAAGAAAAACUAGCGAUGAAACUGGACAUGCCAGUAGAGUUUCAUAACAAACACUUGGUCAAAGCGAAAUGUGUAUGUGUAUUACAAAUAUAUUGAAUUUUUCUUAAAUUCCCUGUUUAGUCAGUUACCAAUAUCAAGAUUAUUGUUGAUAUAUGCACCAGUAAUAUGUUCUCUAGUAAUUCGACACAAAAAAGUAACCUUUUGAACAAAGAGCAAAGUCUAUCCUAGACAAUAAAAUGUGGGAAAAAACGUGAUUAACCUGUGGAAAAAAGAGAGUCUCUUGCCACUCCCUAGUGACAUUAAGGAUAAGGAUAAUCGGUAUGUAACUAUCCUCCUAUGCUUUGCACCAAGCUAUUCCUGUUAGUUUUCAUUGCAUUAUGAUUAAUGAAUAAGUAAUAAUAUGCUUUAUGCAUCAAGUUCCAAUCAAAUGCCACUUUUGUCUAGAUGGUGAAAUUGGAAUUUAUCAAUGCUUAGGGACUCAUUGAUCACUGUCUUGCUUCCUAAAGCCUAGUCUUGUGGUGAGGGAUUUUAACUUUUAAAUCAUUUCUUUUUUUUCAUGUGUAAUGCAAUGGUGAUCUCUUCUGUAUGCCAUCAGAAUCAGAAAGAUGUCAAACAAGGAAAGAGAAUUAGAAGAGAAUGAUUGCACAACGGAGCCACUUAAUUCUGUUGUAAAUAAAGUGUAGGAUUGGCAAAUUCUAGAGAAUUUGAUUUUAUUUUGGCUUUGCUUUGCUUUAAAGUGUGAUUUCCUUUCUUCCAACUAUGAAUGUGAAAAAUUGGACAUUUGAAAGUCCAAAUAUAGCUUCCUCUAGUUGAAUCCAAUCUGUGAUAUUAAAUUCUUUAUCUUUAUUCAAUACUUCCUUGGUUGUAUUAUUAUGUCUACACAGAAUAUCACACAUCAAUAUGAGAUUUAACAUGUAAACAAAUUGUUAAUUUAUCAAUUCAGUUUGG